Molecule: non-coding RNA, 2488 nt
Organism: Physcomitrium patens
Lineage: Eukaryota; Viridiplantae; Streptophyta; Bryopsida; Funariales; Funariaceae
Source: RefSeq, a predicted model, not a curated record
CACACGAUUGUGUUGUAGAUGACGUGGAUGCAGUACUGCUACGAUUCUGCAACGAUGGCAAUUGCUUCGGAGGCACACACAAAUCACAACACAACGCACAUGAAUCUUGAAGGCGCCUUCUCGAGGAACUUGAUGCCGAAGAUUAGGUGAUCUGAUACGGUAAUGGGAGUUGCAGCUUCAAGCAAGUUCUCAAACGAUUCGAUAUGCUGCACUGCUUUUAAUGUUGCGGAGAUCGAGAUGCGACGGAGCGGCGGAGACGUGGUUUGAUUUGCAAAUUGCCUGAGAUACGGUCGGAGAGAGCUCAUGUUCUCAUCCUCAUGAAUUUUCGUAUUCUAGUGCAAAUGAGAAAUUGAAAUUCUCAGCGAUGGCGUCCAGCUUGUUCAUUCCCACCCAGAGCCUUCUUCCCACUCGAGAAUUUUUUGUCGCUCUUCCUAGAAUGCUUCCUCGCCAUUAUUCUCUCGUCAUCCACGCUGCUAAACGCUCUACUCCAAAUGCCACGCCUCCCGUGCACCGCCCUUCCAUUACCUCCAUUGUUAAAACCCUGACUGCUGGCCAUGUCUCUGUCGUCCAGGCUCUUCAGCGCCAGGCGCCAUAUAUGAGGCAAGCUGAUUGGUUUGCGCUUUUGGCAGCCCUUGGGAAACAAAGCAAAUGGACGCUCAUUCUUGAGACUUUCAGGUGGAUGCAAGAACAGAAAUGGUACAGACUAGACAAUGGAUUCCAUUCCAAGCUUAUUGUAACCAUGGGGAAGGCAAAGCAGCUACGGAUGGCUGUGUGGUUCUUCAAGGAAGUGAAACGAAAUGGUCAUCGACCUGACACGUCGUUGUAUAAUGCACUUAUAACUGCUCACCUUCAAGCUGAAGACAAGAGGAUAGGGUUUGCAAAGGCUUUGCAGCUCUUCGAAGAAAUGAAAACAAAAGCCAAUUGCAAACCGGAUUUGGUGACAUACAACAUUCUUCUGAGGGGGAGUGCACAAGUACGUGACAUCCUCCAAGUGGAGCGAUUCUUCGAGGAAAUGGAGGUAGAGAAGAUACAUCCUAAUCUAAUAUCAUACAAUGGGGUCAUUGGCGCUUAUGGCAAGGCUGGAGACUUGGUGCAAAUGGAAAAGACGUUGUUUACCAUGAGAAUCCUGAAACACAUAAAGCCUGAUACCGUGACGUCUAACACUCUCAUUGAAUCUUAUGGCUACGGGCGGGACUUCGUUAAGAUGGAGCAAGUGUUUAAGAGCAUGACAGCUGCCAAGAAUAAACAAACUAGUAGACCUGACGCGAAAACUUAUAACAUCCUAAUGGCCAGUUAUGCUCGGUUAGGUGAGGUGGGAAAGAUGGAAUGGUCAUGCAGCAGGAUGGAAGCCGCAAAUUUCAAGCUGAAUCUUCGAAGUUAUGAGAUACUUAUGACUGGAUAUGGUGAGGUCGGCGCGAUUGCAAGUAUGAGCGAGUGCUUUUAUCAAAUGCUGCAGGCUGGCAUGCAGCCUCAGAAGUCCACACUGAAUGCAAUGCUCAGAGCAUACUGUAAGCACAAUUGCUUCGAAGAAGCAGAGGAGCUUUUGAACGACGCCUUGGGGUGGCAAACCCGUCCGCGAACGUCAUCGUACCUGAUUCUCUUGAGGGCCUAUGCCAAAGAGAGGCGAUCAAGUGACGUAGAGAUGCUGACGGAACGCAUGGCAAAAGUUGGUAUUGCACCAUGUGCAGCUACAUUUUUAGAAGCUCUUGAAUCGUUCAGCUUGUCAUGCGGGUAUGAGGAAAAACUAACAGAAUCUGCUGCGGAGGCUCAAUCAGAUGGUGAAGAUGAAGAAGAUGCUUUUGAUGCAUUUUAGAGCAAUAAAGCAUCUGCUUCCCACACACUGGCUUUCUCGAAUAGUGAUUAUUUGAAAUAGUCGUUCGUGAUCUUUCCCCACUUUUUGGUUAUACUGCGUGCGCCUGGUCUGGACAUGCUCAGGUACAACUAGCUGGAAUUCUACAGGUACUCAGGAGUGACCAUCGAGUAUUGAUGUAUCGACUCUCCCCGCUCUAGAAUUACAAGAAGAUUCCAUGAUGAUCAGAAAAUCAGUUGUCACCUGUGAGAGAUAAAGCCUCACGCCUUUGCCUCCGUCUUCUGCUCAUAACCCUCCUUUUAGAUCGCGUCCACCGAGCAACUCCAGGUUUUGAUUGUGUCCAGCCGCUACCAAAUGCGAAGCUUCUGCACUAGUGCGCUCAUGAUUUGCAUGUCGAACAAUAUCGUUUAGGACAUUAACAUUGUGUAUUACCUUCGUAAAUAUUUCGCAUCUGAUAUUGGCAUGUGCCUUGCUGCUAAGCACCUCUACAUUUACACCAGUGUCCAAGCUGCAGAUCGGCGGGAAACGAAAUAUGCCUAGAGUGGCAUCCAAAUCUUAGGUUUCAUCCAAAUUUCUGUAAUUGAAUUGGUGCGGUACAAUUGGAGCCCUUGUGUACUUGUAAGCUGAUCACACUCAGUUCCAGACAUCUGAUCCUGCAUGACAGCCUUUUAAAAUGUU